AAAUUGAAGAGUUUGAUCAUGGCUCAGAUUGAACGCUGGCGGCAGGCCUAACACAUGCAAGUCGAACGGUAACAGGAAGCAGCUUGCUGCUUCGCUGACGAGUGGCGGACGGGUGAGUAAUGUCUGGGAAACUGCCUGAUGGAGGGGGAUAACUACUGGAAACGGUAGCUAAUACCGCAUAAUGUCGCAAGACCAAAGAGGGGGACCUUCGGGCCUCUUGCCAUCGGAUGUGCCCAGAUGGGAUUAGCUUGUUGGUGGGGUAACGGCUCACCAAGGCGACGAUCCCUAGCUGGUCUGAGAGGAUGACCAGCCACACUGGAACUGAGACACGGUCCAGACUCCUACGGGAGGCAGCAGUGGGGAAUAUUGCACAAUGGGCGCAAGCCUGAUGCAGCCAUGCCGCGUGUAUGAAGAAGGCCUUCGGGUUGUAAAGUACUUUCAGCGGGGAGGAAGGGAGUAAAGUUAAUACCUUUGCUCAUUGACGUUACCCGCAGAAGAAGCACCGGCUAACUCCGUGCCAGCAGCCGCGGUAAUACGGAGGGUGCAAGCGUUAAUCGGAAUUACUGGGCGUAAAGCGCACGCAGGCGGUUUGUUAAGUCAGAUGUGAAAUCCCCGGGCUCAACCUGGGAACUGCAUCUGAUACUGGCAAGCUUGAGUCUCGUAGAGGGGGGGUAGAAUUCCAGGUGUAGCGGUGAAAUGCGUAGAGAUCUGGAGGAAUACCGGUGGCGAAGGCGGCCCCCUGGACGAAGACUGACGCUCAGGUGCGAAAGCGUGGGGAGCAAACAGGAUUAGAUACCCUGGUAGUCCACGCCGUAAACGAUGUCGACUUGGAGGUUGUGCCCUUGAGGCGUGGCUUCCGGAGCUAACGCGUUAAGUCGACCGCCUGGGGAGUACGGCCGCAAGGUUAAAACUCAAAUGAAUUGACGGGGGCCCGCACAAGCGGUGGAGCAUGUGGUUUAAUUCGAUGCAACGCGAAGAACCUUACCUGGUCUUGACAUCCACAGAACUUUCCAGAGAUGGAUUGGUGCCUUCGGGAACUGUGAGACAGGUGCUGCAUGGCUGUCGUCAGCUCGUGUUGUGAAAUGUUGGGUUAAGUCCCGCAACGAGCGCAACCCUUAUCCUUUGUUGCCAGCGGUCCGGCCGGGAACUCAAAGGAGACUGCCAGUGAUAAACUGGAGGAAGGUGGGGAUGACGUCAAGUCAUCAUGGCCCUUACGACCAGGGCUACACACGUGCUACAAUGGCGCAUACAAAGAGAAGCGACCUCGCGAGAGCAAGCGGACCUCAUAAAGUGCGUCGUAGUCCGGAUUGGAGUCUGCAACUCGACUCCAUGAAGUCGGAAUCGCUAGUAAUCGUGGAUCAGAAUGCCACGGUGAAUACGUUCCCGGGCCUUGUACACACCGCCCGUCACACCAUGGGAGUGGGUUGCAAAAGAAGUAGGUAGCUUAACCUUCGGGAGGGCGCUUACCACUUUGUGAUUCAUGACUGGGGUGAAGUCGUAACAAGGUAACCGUAGGGGAACCUGCGGUUGGAUCACCUCCUUA
RNAcentral lists this ribosomal RNA (1543 nucleotides) under Shigella sonnei. RNAcentral's name for it is "bacterial SSU rRNA". It matches the Rfam family "Bacterial small subunit ribosomal RNA". The record is from RNAcentral. Lineage: Bacteria; Pseudomonadati; Pseudomonadota; Gammaproteobacteria; Enterobacterales; Enterobacteriaceae.